UACGAAGGGGGCUAGCGUUGCUCGGAAUCACUGGGCGUAAAGCGCACGUAGGCGGACCUUUAAGUCAGGGGUGAAAUCCUGGAGCUCAACUCCAGAACUGCCUUUGAUACUGGGGAUCUCGAGUCCGGGAGAGGUGAGUGGAACUGCGAGUGUAGAGGUGAAAUUCGUAGAUAUUCGCAAGAACACCAGUGGCGAAGGCGGCUCACUGGCCCGGUACUGACGCUGAGGUGCGAAAGCGUGGGGAGCAAACAGG
Molecule: ribosomal RNA, 253 nt
Filed under: uncultured bacterium
Lineage: Bacteria
Description: partial 16S ribosomal RNA
Rfam family: Bacterial small subunit ribosomal RNA
Source: RNAcentral